RNAcentral lists this ribosomal RNA (468 nucleotides) under uncultured bacterium. RNAcentral describes it as "partial 16S ribosomal RNA". It matches the Rfam family "Bacterial small subunit ribosomal RNA", at positions 28 to 507 of the family's 1533-position model. The record is from RNAcentral.
GACGAACGCUGGCGGCGUGCUUAACACAUGCAAGUCGAACGGAAAGGCCCUGCUUUUGUGGGGUGCUCGAGUGGCGAACGGGUGAGUAACACGUGAGUAACCUGCCCUUGACUUAGGGAUAACUUCAGGAAACUGGGGCUAAUACCGGAUAGGAGCUCCUGCUGCAUGGUGGGGGUUGGAAAGUUUCGGCGGUUGGGGAUGGACUCGCGGCUUAUCAGCUUGUUGGUGGGGUAGUGGCUUACCAAGGCUUUGACGGGUAGCCGGCCUGAGAGGGUGACCGGCCACAUUGGGACUGAGAUACGGCGCAGACUCCUACGGGAGGCAGCAGGGGGGAAUAUUGCACAAUGGGCGGAAGCCUGAUGCAGCAACGCCGCGUGCGUGAUGACGGCCUUCGGGUUGUAAACCGCUUUCGCCUGUGACGAAGCGUGAGUGACGGUAAUGGGUAAAGAAGCACCGGCUAACUACGUG